Molecule: non-coding RNA, 92 nt
Organism: Leptodontidium sp. MPI-SDFR-AT-0119
Lineage: Eukaryota; Fungi; Ascomycota; Leotiomycetes; Helotiales; Leptodontidiaceae
Source: the annotation of a GenBank genome assembly
GGCACCUUAACAGAGUGGUUAACGUGUCUGCCUCCAAUCCUUCGGGGGAGGUAGCAGCAUCGGGCGCGCGAGUUCGAAUCUCGCAGGUGCCG